GACGAACGCUGGCGGCGUGCUUAACACAUGCAAGUCGAGCGGAAAGGCCCUUCGGGGUCCUCGAGCGGCGAACGGGUGAGUAACGCGUGAGUAACCUGCCCCAGACUUUGGGAUAACCCUCGGAAACGGGGGCUAAUACCGGAUACGACACAGCUUCGCAUGGGGUCUGUGUGGAAAGUUUUUCGGUUUGGGAUGGGCUCGCGGCCUAUCAGCUUGUUGGUGGGGUGAUGGCCUACCAAGGCGACGACGGGUAGCCGGCCUGAGAGGGCGACCGGCCACACUGGGACUGAGACACGGACCAGACUCCUACGGGAGGCAGCAGUGGGGAAUAUUGCACAAUGGGCGGAAGCCUGAUGCAGCGACGCCGCGUGAGGGAUGACGGCCUUCGGGUUGUAAACCUCUUUCAGCAGGGACGAAGCGUAAGUGACGGUACCUGCAGAAGAAGCGCCGGCCAACUACGUG
Molecule: ribosomal RNA, 462 nt
Filed under: uncultured bacterium
Lineage: Bacteria
Description: partial 16S ribosomal RNA
Rfam family: Bacterial small subunit ribosomal RNA
Source: RNAcentral